CUUUCAGAGAACACAGGGUUCCUGCAGGAAAUGGGGCAGUUUCACCUUCCUGAGGAGGGGCCUGGGAGGGGCAGCAGGUGGCCGGGUAGGGCCAGCCCAGCUGUGAGCCUGGCGUGGGAGCUGCCUAGGCCGGGCCCUGCCAGGGAGCAAGUCUGCAUCACAGAGGCCAGGGCACAAUGACCUCCCCUGGCAGCUGCUGGAUAUGUUCAACAACCGGCUGCAGGACGAGAGGGCCAACCUGACCACCUUGGCCGGCACACACACCAACAUCCCCAAGCUGAGGGCCGGCUUUGUGGGAGGCCAGUUCUGGUCCGUGUACACGCCCUGCGACACCCAGAACAAAGACGCUGUGCGGAGGACACUGGAGCAGAUGGACGUGGUCCACCGCAUGUGCCGGAUGUACCCGGAGACCUUCCUGUAUGUCACCAGCAGUGCAGGCAUUCGGCAGGCCUUCCGGGAAGGGAAGGUGGCCAGCCUGAUCGGCGUGGAGGGCGGCCACUCCAUUGACAGCAGUCUGGGCGUCCUGCGGGCACUCUAUCAGCUGGGCAUGCGGUACCUGACCCUCACCCACAGCUGCAACACGCCCUGGGCUGACAACUGGCUGGUGGACACGGGAGACAGUGAGCCCCAGAGCCAAGGCUUGUCACCCUUUGGGCAGGUGAGUGGGGUGGGAGCGGCCAGUCACCCCCGAGGAGAAGGCAGAGGCCCUGGAGGGUGACCAGAACAAUGCAUCUCCUCACGUGGGACCUCAGUGUCCUUGUCUGUAAAAUGGAUCUGGCAGCCAUCCCCCCAGGGUGGGUGCUGAGCCCUGAGUGGCCCCGGACUUCCAGCCAUGAAGGAUGAUGACUCACAUCUGGUCCAGCCCGUCCACCUCCGCAGCCCCGACCCUGGGGGCUGUGAGGGUGGACGGAGCCCUGUCUUCCCAGCGUGUGGUGAAGGAGCUGAACCGUCUGGGAGUCCUCAUCGACUUGGCUCACGUGUCUGUGGCCACCAUGAAGGCCACCCUGCAGCUGUCCAGAGCCCCGGUCAUCUUCAGCCACUCCUCGGCCUACAGCGUGUGCGCAAGCCGGCGCAACGUGCCUGACGACGUCCUGAGGCUGGUGAAACAGACAGACAGCCUGGUGAUGGUGAACUUCUACAACAAUUACAUUUCCUGCACCAACAA
This 1165-nucleotide small RNA is filed under the name Pan troglodytes (chimpanzee). Its description in RNAcentral is "retained intron". The record is from RNAcentral. Lineage: Eukaryota; Metazoa; Chordata; Mammalia; Primates; Hominidae.